ACUACGGAGAGUUUGAUCCUAGCUCAGGACGAACGCUGGCGGCAGGCUUAACACAUGCAAGUCGCACGAGAACGCUCUGGCUUUGCCAGGGCAAGUACAGUGGCGGACGGGUGCGUAACGCGUAGACAACCUGCCCUCAGGCGCGGGACAAUCACGGGAAACCGUGGCUAAUACCGCACGACGUCCGGAGCCCGCAUGGGAACCGGAUGAAACCCCGUUUUGCGGGGGCCUUUGGAUGGGUCUGCGUCGGAUUAGCUUGUUGGUGAGGUAACGGCUCACCAAGGUAACGAUCCGUAGCUGGUCUGAGAGGACGAUCAGUCA
This 321-nucleotide ribosomal RNA is filed under the name Bacteroidetes bacterium QH_2_64_26. RNAcentral's name for it is "bacterial SSU rRNA". It matches the Rfam family "Bacterial small subunit ribosomal RNA", at positions 1 to 310 of the family's 1533-position model. Lineage: Bacteria; Pseudomonadati; Bacteroidota. The record is from RNAcentral.